UAUCUAGGUCAGCACAAAGGUGUAGCGGGAGGACAGCUAGCUUCUGUCCUCCUCUGGAUCCAUUGACUUCAAUACAAAUCCUAGGAGGCUCAUAGACCUCACCCCCUUCCAUAGACCUACAUGGUAAUUAUGGCCAAUUCUGGAAGACCUCCUCCAAAAAAUCUAAGCUUUUUCAGUAUGAACUGACAUGUUGUCCAUCCAAUCAUACGAUUAGGAUCAGAGAAGGAACCUAGUGCGAUGUAUUGAGGUUGUGCUGUAGAGCAUUAUUGGGGGGGAUCUAUGUGUUGAGAAGCUUGGUGAAAUUAUUGGAUAGAGAUUGAAAAUAUUUAUUUGAGCAUUUUUUAAAUUAUUCAAUUCAAAUUAGAUUAUUCAAAUUACAGGAGAUGGAGGAGGUUAAUUAUACAUUGUUUUCUUGGUUUUAUAACUUUUUGUAUCCAGUUAGUGCAGAUUAUUUCAAUUUUCCAUGAUAACAAGCUAGCUACCAGUUCGAGUGUGCACCUUUCGCCGGCAACGCUACCUCAAAUUGUUUUUACUUUUUGUUGAACCCUUUUCAUUCUCUGGGGCACACGGAAAAGGUGCGAAUUAAAACCGAGGUCGACUGCCUGAGAUCAGUUUCAUGAAGAAAGAUGAAAAGUUCUAUCUAUGUCUCUUCCUGUUCCCUGAUUGAAGAAGUGACCACUCCACUCCACUGCGAUUGUCAACUCUCUCCUGACAUGAACUGAAGCCACGUCUCAUGUUCCCACUCAUCCACUGUUACAUUUAAUGAUUCUUCUCCAACCACUUCAAAUCCUGUCCUGCACAGAAGUCAAGUCACUGAAAACCUCAAUUCAUGCCUUAUACCCUCAUUCAAUCACUGCUGUGAUCCCUUCCCAAAACGGUGUAUGUAGCCCUCUCAUUCUCAUUCCCCAUAAUAUUGUACAAUAAAUGUCUUUACUAAAUUCUUUAGGUUAAAACAAUUACUCUGGCGAUUUUUGAAACACGCUUUGACGUCUCCGUGUGUCUACAACGUGGGUUUCCUCAGUUUUUCAAGUCUCCAGCCUCCACUGAUCACAGUGCUAGCUGUGCCACUAGAGAUCCUUGUUCGAGUCCAGGCUCAGUCGAAAAAGGAAUAAGAAAAUACAAUAGUUUCCAGAGGGGUGGGGUUGAUUCUCCUCCACAAAUCAAACAGAGAAAGGCAUCUAGAAUUAGCAUGCCAACAAGACUACAUUUUGUUGGUUCCAGGUAGGACUGUAUCAUAGCC
Molecule: long non-coding RNA, 1240 nt
Filed under: Oncorhynchus kisutch (coho salmon)
Lineage: Eukaryota; Metazoa; Chordata; Actinopteri; Salmoniformes; Salmonidae
Description: lncRNA (ENSOKIG00005030567.1)
Source: RNAcentral